AUUGCCAGAACCUUGGCGAUGUAAGGGAUCAGCGGCAGGUUCAGAAUCAGCAGGAUCAGGUUGCCGAUAUACAUCGAGAUGAUGACCGACCAGAAGAUCUGAGGCUGGUCCACCAUCAGGCGCGGGCC
Molecule: non-coding RNA, 128 nt
Filed under: Pseudoprimorskyibacter insulae
Lineage: Bacteria; Pseudomonadati; Pseudomonadota; Alphaproteobacteria; Rhodobacterales; Paracoccaceae
Description: Ruegeria cis8 sRNA
Rfam family: Ruegeria cis8 sRNA
About the family: Cis-encoded. Targets hypothetical protein.
Source: Rfam by way of RNAcentral